Molecule: ribosomal RNA, 300 nt
Filed under: Gracilaria sp. 3 MCO-2015
Lineage: Eukaryota; Rhodophyta; Florideophyceae; Gracilariales; Gracilariaceae
Description: bacterial LSU rRNA
Rfam family: Bacterial large subunit ribosomal RNA
Source: RNAcentral
UUGCGCAGUAUAGGUGGGAGGCAAAGAGUAUAUGUUCGCGGAUGUAUAGGAGCCAUUAGUGAGAUACCACUCUGAUUAAACUAGAAUUCUAAUAUUGAUUGCCAUAAGCUGGCCAAUAAACAGUUUCAGGUGGGCAGUUUGACUGGGGCGGUCGCCUCCUAAAAGGUAACGGAGGCGUGCAAAGGUUUCCUCAGGCUGGUCGGAAAUCAGUCGUAGAGUAUAAAGGCAUAAGGAAGCUUGACUGCGAGACUUACAAGUCGAGCAGAGACGAAAGUCGGCCUUAGUGAUCCGACAGUACUG